RNAcentral lists this transfer-messenger RNA (345 nucleotides) under Caldisericia. RNAcentral's name for it is "JAGNLA01 sp017999835 Standard tmRNA". It matches the Rfam family "transfer-messenger RNA". From Rfam's summary of the family: Bacterial tmRNA, also known as 10Sa RNA or SsrA, is named for its dual tRNA and mRNA-like properties. Its role is to liberate the mRNA from a stalled ribosome. To accomplish this part of the tmRNA is used as a reading frame that ends in a translation stop signal. Lineage: Bacteria; Pseudomonadati; Caldisericota. RNAcentral also lists the same sequence under 1 other name. The record is from RNAcentral.
GGGGGUGAAAGGUAUCGACACUUGACAAGUGAGCUUUUCGGCAAGCCGAGGUUGACGCCAGGCCUCGUUAAACAGGCGUCAAGGCAUUAACUGCCAACAACAACUACGCACUCGCAGCCUAAGUAGCUGAGACGGCAAUGGGCAAGAUCUGGUUCCUGUAACCCAAAGCCGACGCACUGGAACUUCCGAUGCAUCUGCCUCCCGGGUGGUUGCAAAGGGUACAAACCGGGAAAACCGACUGGAAACUCCGGCUCAUACCAGAAGGUUACCUGAGUCGGGAAGCUUGUAAUUCCGAGGGUUUGUGAGUCAGGCUGGACACGGGUUCGAAUCCCGUCACCUCCACCA